This is a small nucleolar RNA of Capsella rubella, 88 nucleotides long. It matches the Rfam family "small nucleolar RNA snoR114". NCBI's taxonomy places the organism in Eukaryota, Viridiplantae, Streptophyta, Magnoliopsida, Brassicales, Brassicaceae. The record is from Rfam.
GAGCUGUGAGGAAAUUGGCUUUAGCGUUGGUUGGGUCCUUCGCAUUCUUCUGACUUAACAGAUGGACAUAUGGCCUAAGUCUGAGCUC